GUGUCAGCAGCCGCGGUAAUACGUAGGCAGCGAGCGUUGUUCGGAGUUACUGGGCGUAAAGGGUGCGUAGGCGGCCGAUUAAGUUUGUCGUGAAAUCUCCCGGCUUAACUGGGAGGGUGCGGCGAGUACUGACCGGCUAGAGUGUGGGAGAGGAGAGUGGAAUUCCUGGUGUAGCGGUGAAAUGCGUAGAUAUCAGGAGGAACACCGGCGGUGUAGACGGCUCUCUAGACCAUAACUGACGCUGAGGCACGAAAGCGUGGGUAGCAAACAGGAUUAGAUACCCUGGUAGUCCACGCCCUAAACGAUGCACAUUUGGUGUGGGCAGUUCAUUCUGUCCGUGCCGGAGCUAACGCGUUAAAUGUGCCGCCUGGGGAGUACAGUCGCAAGGCUGAA
RNAcentral lists this ribosomal RNA (393 nucleotides) under uncultured bacterium. RNAcentral's name for it is "bacterial SSU rRNA". It matches the Rfam family "Bacterial small subunit ribosomal RNA", at positions 505 to 898 of the family's 1533-position model. The record is from RNAcentral.